AGCAGCCGCGGUAAUUCCAGCUCCAAUAGCGUAUAUUAAAGUUGUUGCAGUUAAAAAGCUCGUAGUUGAACUUCAGGCCUGGCUGGACGGUCCGCCCUCUGGGUGAGCACUGUCUGUGGUCGGGUCCUACCUUCUGGCGAAGCGGCAUGGCCUUAACCGGCCGUGGCGGGGAACCAGGACUUUUACUGUGAAAAAAUUAGAGUGUUCAAAGCAGGCACGCGCUUGAAUACAUUAGCAUGGAAUAAUGGAAUAGGACAAUGGUUCUAUUUGUUGGUUUCUAGGACCGUUGUAAUGAUUAAUAGGGAUAGUUGGGGGCAUUAGUAUUCAAUUGUCAGAGGUGAAAUUCUUGGAUUUAUUGAAGACUAACUACUGCGAAAGCAUUUGCCAAGGAUGUUUUCAUUAAUCAAGAACGAAAGUUAGGGGAUCGAAGACGACCAGAUACCGUCGUAGUCUUAACCAUAAACUAUGCCGACUAGGAAUCGGGCGAUGUUGACAAAAUGACGCGCUCGGCACCU
Molecule: ribosomal RNA, 515 nt
Filed under: uncultured Paraglomus
Lineage: Eukaryota; Fungi; Glomeromycota; Glomeromycetes; Paraglomerales; Paraglomeraceae
Description: SSU rRNA
Rfam family: Eukaryotic small subunit ribosomal RNA
Source: RNAcentral